GACGAACGCUGGCGGCGUGCUUAACACAUGCAAGUCAAGGGGAACGGUUGACUUCGGUUGACCUAGUAUACUGGCGAACGGGUGAGUAACGCGUGGGUAACCUGCCUAUAAGUUUGGGAUAACACUGCUAACGCGGUGCUAAUACCGGAUGAUGCACCAUAUUCACAUGUAGAUGGUGUUAAAGCGGGCUUUCGGGCUCGUGCUUAUAGAUGGACCUGCGUCUCAUUAGUUAGUUGGCGGGGUAACGGCCCACCAAGGCGACGAUGGGUAGCCGACCUGAGAGGGUGAUCGGCCACACUGGGACUGAGAUACGGCCCAGACUCCUACGGGAGGCUG
Molecule: ribosomal RNA, 336 nt
Filed under: uncultured Deferribacteres bacterium
Lineage: Bacteria; Pseudomonadati; Deferribacterota; Deferribacteres
Description: bacterial SSU rRNA
Rfam family: Bacterial small subunit ribosomal RNA
Source: RNAcentral